Molecule: ribosomal RNA, 1350 nt
Filed under: uncultured bacterium
Lineage: Bacteria
Description: bacterial SSU rRNA
Rfam family: Bacterial small subunit ribosomal RNA
Source: RNAcentral
GACGAACGCUGGCGGCGUGCUUAACACAUGCAAGUCGAACGGAAAGGCCCUGCUUUUGUGGGGUGCUCGAGUGGCGAACGGGUGAGUAACACGUGAGUAACCUGCCCUUGACUUUGGGAUAACUUCAGGAAACUGGGGCUAAUACCGGAUAGGAGCUCCUGCUGCAUGGUGGGGGUUGGAAAGUUUCGGCGGUUGGGGAUGGACUCGCGGCUUAUCAGCUUGUUGGUGGGGUAGUGGCUUACCAAGGCUUUGACGGGUAGCCGGCCUGAGAGGGUGACCGGCCACAUUGGGACUGAGAUACGGCCCAGACUCCUACGGGAGGCAGCAGUGGGGAAUAUUGCACAAUGGGCGGAAGCCUGAUGCAGCAACGCCGCGUGCGGGAUGACGGCCUUCGGGUUGUAAACCGCUUUCGCCUGUGACGAAGCGUGAGUGACGGUAAUGGGUAAAGAAGCACCGGCUAACUACGUGCCAGCAGCCGCGGUGAUACGUAGGGUGCGAGCGUUGUCCGGAUUUAUUGGGCGUAAAGGGCUCGUAGGUGGUUGAUCGCGUCGGAAGUGUAAUCUUGGGGCUUAACCCUGAGCGUGCUUUCGAUACGGGUUGACAUGAGGAAAGGAGGGGAGAAUGGAAUUCCUGGUGGAACGGUGGAAUGCGCAGAUAUCAGGAGGAACACCAGUGGCGAAGGCGGUUCUCUGGGCCUUUCCUGACACUGAGGAACGAAAGCGUGGGGAGCGAAACAGGCUUAAAUACCCUGAUAGCCCACGCUGUAAACGGUGGGUACUAGGGGUGGGGUCCAUUCCACGGGUUCCGUGCCGUAGCUAACGCUUUAAGUACCCCGCCUGGGGAGUACGGCCGCAAGGCUAAAACUCAAAGGAAUUGACCGGGCCCCGCACAAACGGUGUAGCAUGCUGAUUAACUCGAUGCAACGCCUAGAACCUUACCUGGGUUUGACAUGGAUCAGGAGUGCUCAGAGAUGGGUGUGCCUCUUUUGGGGUCGGGUCACAGGUGGUGCAUGGCUGCCGUCAGCUCGUGUCGUGAGAUGUUGGGUUAAGUCCCCCAACGAGCGCAACCCUUGUUCACUGGUGCCAUCACGUAAUGGAGGGGACUCACUGGAGACCGCCGGGGGCAACUCGGAAGAAGGUGGGGCAUGACUUCCAGUCCUCAUGCCCCUUAUGUCCGGGUUUCAGGCAUGCAACAAUGGCUGGUACACACAGUGGCGAGCCUAUCACGGUGAGCGUAUUCUCGGGAAGCCCGGUCUCGGUUCCGAUUGGGGUCUGCAACUCGUACCCCUUGAAUCGGAGUCCCUAAUGAUUCUCGCAUUACCCACCCUGGCCUGAAUACGUUCCCGGGGCU